Molecule: small nucleolar RNA, 138 nt
Filed under: Chaetura pelagica (chimney swift)
Lineage: Eukaryota; Metazoa; Chordata; Aves; Apodiformes; Apodidae
Description: Small nucleolar RNA SNORA5
Rfam family: Small nucleolar RNA SNORA5
About the family: ACA5 is a member of the H/ACA class of snoRNA that guide the sites of modification of uridines to pseudouridines.
Source: Rfam by way of RNAcentral
GGCAGCCCUGUCAAAUUCAGUCCCUGCCUCCUCCGUGGUGGGGACUGGCCACCCGGCUGCCACAGCAAACUGGGGUCCACGAGCUCCCCAUCCCCUUCCCGUGGGGUCACUGGGGUUGACAUCCGACCACCAACACUG